CACACACACGCACUUGUAUAGCACCUAGUGGGCAGCCUGGCCUGGUUAAAGGGUCCCACUCCCAUCACAGCUGUCCACAUCUAAUAGUGACCAAGACCCAGAUCCGGAGGGGACCGAGGACCACACCUCUGCUGGAAGCACUAGUUUACAGAAGAGGAAACGGAGACUUGGAGAGAAGCCACUCACUUGGCUUCCAAACAGCACGUCACCUGGCUACAUGUAGCCAGGCCUCCUCUGCCCCAGUAACAGGAGCUCAGAAAAACACCCAUCACUCAUGGUUACUGUCAGUGCCCCUGGGCCUGUGCCCAGAGGUGCUGCUGUACCCAGACUCUUGAAAGGAGCUCAGGGAUCCCUACGAGUGGCUUUCCCUGUUUGGUCCCUCCCUCCUUUUCUUUCCUAACCCUCUUCAUCCCUGAUCUGACUUCCAUUCUCCCAAACAUCCGCAGGGACCCACUGGGCCAUACUAGCUAGGUCCUUGAACGUAGUUCCCAGGUCCUGUGUGCUGGCAAAUUAGUCCACCAGAGACGAGCUCUGGGACGGAGCGGCACUGCCCCAUGGUGUCCUCGGCUCUCAUCCUGCCAGACACAGAUCACCGGGUCAGGUCCCCGGCGGGGCAGCUGGUAGAUUCCAACCACCGACCUUCCAGCUUGCAGUUGAGAACUCAACCAUUACUCCAGCCGGGCUCCUCAAACAUAAGGAUGUCGUUGUUGUUGGGCGCUGUCUAGUCGGUUCCAACUCGUAGUGCCGCUGUCCACAAGGAACCGCUGCCCCGCCCUGCACCAUUCACACGGCCGGCGCUGUGUGGGAGCCCAUUGUCGCAGCCACUGUCAGUCCCUCUCGCUUCCUUUUCCACUGACCAAGCAGAAGGACCUUCGCCAGGAACCAGUCCCUCCUGAUAAUUUGUCCAAAGUGAAAAGUCACGUCACCUUGGUUUCUUCUCUAAGAGCCUCCUGGCUGUCCUCCUACCAAGACAGGUCCUUUGUUCGUCCAGCCGUCCACGUGCCUGCAGAUUCUUCGCCACCAUGAGUCUAAGGCCUCGAUUCUUCUGCCCCCUUUAUGCAUUGUCUAGCCAUCGCACCAAGAGGAGAUGCCUGAAAACGUCCAGGCUUGGGUCAGGCACAGCUGAGUCCUCAAACAUCUUAGCCUUGGACCACAUGAAAGAGUUCUUUGUGCCGAUGGAAUGGGUCGUUUCGAUUUCCUGAUCGCUGCUUCCACGGGCGGGACCGAGGAGCCAAAGAGAAUCCUCCGAAAUUCCCUCGAUCACUUCGGUCCGGUCUGCACUGGCAUCCACUGGCCAAGACUUGUUGUCUUCAUGUGGAGGAAGGAGCUCCGGGUGGAUGCCGACGCACAGCAACCCACCAGGACAGGGCAGAACUGCCCGCGUGGGUGUCUGAGACGGUCACUCUUUCCAGGAGUAGAAAGCCUCCUCUUUCUCCUGCAGAGUGCGCUGGUUUCGAACCGCCAACCUUCAGGUGAGCAGCCCAAAGCAUGACCGCUACGCCCCCAGGACACAUCAUCUCUGUGUAACAACGAGUGUUUGUGGGAAUGUGUGCUUUUUGAAACAAAACCUUGUUGGCUUCUUAGCUCUCUCCCUGAGGCCUUGUUUUUAAAGGGAGCUUUCUUUUCAGUGAAUAAUGUUUUCUAUUAUUUGAAUUAAAAAAAAAACACAACAUUCAUGGAUACUUUCAACGAAAGACCCUCAAGAUAAAUGAAUCGUAUUAAA
Long non-coding RNA from Echinops telfairi (small Madagascar hedgehog), 1723 nucleotides. RefSeq lists it as uncharacterized. The transcript is spliced from 2 exons. The record is from RefSeq and is a predicted model, not a curated record. NCBI's taxonomy places the organism in Eukaryota, Metazoa, Chordata, Mammalia, Afrosoricida, Tenrecidae.